UACGAAGGGGGCUAGCGUUGCUCGGAAUCACUGGGCGUAAAGGGUGCGUAGGCGGGUUUUUAAGUCAGGGGUGAAAUCCUGGAGCUCAACUCCAGAACUGCCUUUGAUACUGAAGAUCUUGAGUCCGGGAGAGGUGAGUGGAACUGCGAGUGUAGAGGUGAAAUUCGUAGAUAUUCGCAAGAACACCAGUGGCGAAGGCGGCUUACUGGUCCGGUUCUGACGCUGAGGCGCGAAAGCGUGGGGAGCAAACAGG
This 253-nucleotide ribosomal RNA is filed under the name uncultured bacterium. RNAcentral describes it as "partial 16S ribosomal RNA". It matches the Rfam family "Bacterial small subunit ribosomal RNA", at positions 524 to 776 of the family's 1533-position model. The record is from RNAcentral.